RNAcentral lists this ribosomal RNA (1346 nucleotides) under uncultured Chloroflexota bacterium. RNAcentral describes it as "bacterial SSU rRNA". It matches the Rfam family "Bacterial small subunit ribosomal RNA", at positions 72 to 1448 of the family's 1533-position model. The record is from RNAcentral. Lineage: Bacteria; Bacillati; Chloroflexota.
AGUACCUUUCGAGGUACGGAGAGUGGCGCACGGGUGAGUAACACGUAACUGAUCUGCCCUAGAGAGGGGGAUAACUACUGGAAACAGUAGCUAAAACCCCAUAAGCUCACGUUUUUUAGAAAGAUGUGAGAAAAACUCCGGUGCUCUAGGAUGAGGUUGCGUCCCAUCAGCUAGUUGGUGUGGUAAAGGCACACCAAGGCGACGACGGGUAGGGGACCUGAGAGGGUGACCCCCCACACUGGAACUGAGACACGGUCCAGACUCCUACGGGAGGCAGCAGUGAGGAAUAUUGCACAAUGGACGAAAGUCUGAUGCAGCGACGCCGCGUGGGCGAAGAAGGUUUUCGGAUCGUAAAGCCCUUUUCUAUGUGACGAGAACGGACGGUAGCAUAGGAAUAAGUGUCGGCUAACUACGUGCCAGCAGCCGCGGUAAAACGUAGGACGCGAACGUUAUCCGGAGUUACUGGGCGUAAAGCGCGUGCAGGCGGUUUUGUAAGUUACCUAUGAAAGCUCUCGGCUAAACUGGGAGAGGAUAGGUGAAACUGCAAGACUAGAGUGAGGUGGAGGUGAGUAGAAUUCCAGGUGUAGUGGUGAAAUGCGUAGAUAUCUGGAGGAAUACCAGUGGCGAAGGCGGCUCACUGGCCCUCAACUGACGCUGAGACGCGAAAGCGUGGGUAGCGAACGGGAUUAGAAACCCCGGUAGUCCACGCUGUAAACGAUGUACAUUAGGUGUUCGUGUGCCUGCGGGUAUAUGAGUAUCGAAGCAAACGCGAUAAAUGUACCGCCUGGGGAGUACGGUCGCAAGGCUAAAACUCAAAGGAAUUGACGGGGGCCCGCACAAGCAGCGGAGCGUGUGGUUUAAUUCGAGGCUACGCGAAGAACCUUACCUGGGUUUGACAUGGUAGUAGUACGGAAGCGAAAGCGGAAGGACUCUUCGGAGAGCUAUCACAGGUGCUGCAUGGUUGUCGUCAGCUCGUGCCGUGAGGUGUUCGGUUAAGUCCGCAAACGAGCGCAACCCCCGGUGCUAGUUACAAGUGUCUAGCGCGACUGCCCGUGACAAACGGGAGGAAGGUGGGGAUGACGUCAAAUCAGCAUGGCCUUUAUAUCCAGGGCUACACACACGCUACAAUGGUCAGUACAAUGGGUCGCGAAGCCGCGAGGUGGAGCCAAUCCUCUAAAGCUGAUCUCAGUUCGGAUUGCAGGCUGCAACUCGCCUGCAUGAAGUCGGAGUUGCUAGUAACCGCGUAUCAGCACGGCGCGGUGAAUACGUUCCCGGGCCUUGUACACACCGCCCGUCACGUCAUGGAAGCGGGUCACGCCUAAAGUCGGGAAGCUAACCUAACGGAG